RNAcentral lists this transfer RNA (70 nucleotides) under Protosalanx chinensis. Its description in RNAcentral is "tRNA-Pro". It matches the Rfam family "tRNA". From Rfam's summary of the family: Transfer RNA (tRNA) molecules are approximately 80 nucleotides in length. Their secondary structure includes four short double-helical elements and three loops (D, anti-codon, and T loops). RNAcentral also lists the same sequence under 2 other names. The record is from RNAcentral. Lineage: Eukaryota; Metazoa; Chordata; Actinopteri; Osmeriformes; Salangidae.
CAGAGAAUAGUUUAAUUUAGAAUCUUAGCUUUGGGAGUUAAGGGCGGGAGUUUGAUUCUCCCUUCUCUGA